This is a long non-coding RNA of Lutzomyia longipalpis, 1745 nucleotides long. RefSeq lists it as uncharacterized. The transcript is spliced from 6 exons. The record is from RefSeq and is a predicted model, not a curated record. NCBI's taxonomy places the organism in Eukaryota, Metazoa, Arthropoda, Insecta, Diptera, Psychodidae.
ACCGCAGAGUUUGAUGCCGUGAAACAUGACAUAUGAUUUGUAGUGGACAUGUUGUAUGACAUUCAUAUGACUUGUCUGAUGUGUAAAUUUUAUGCAAAAAUAUAUAAUUUGGAGGGGAAAUUUUAUGUUUCUGAGUUAUUUUAAGAGUCCAGAAAUUGGUUUUAGGUGUUUUUUCUAGUUUUCUAACGAAAAAUUGCUCAUUUUUUGCAAUCGGAUGUUAGAGAUAUCUCAUAUGACUUACGUAUAACGUAUCAUAAGACUUUUGUAUGACAUGUCUUACGUAUAUUUUAUGGAUUUUAUCAAUUUUAUGCAAAAAUUUAUGUUUUAGAGAAGAAAUUCUAUUUUUUUGACCUUUGUAUGAGACUUUUUGAUGCGUUUACAUAGUUUUUCUCGUUUUCUGAAAGAAAAUUUGGAAAAAUAAAAAUUAAUUGCAAAAUUAUUGUUUCCGCCAAAUUUCUGCGCGGCGCUAGUGUUUUUGGAAAAAAAUGUGCAAAAAUGGUGGAAUGCUGACGCUGUGAAGAAAAUACACAAUUUUCGGUGGAAAAUGGCAAUGUAAGUAUGUUUUUCCUCUUUUAUCUUGUGCAUAAUAAUUAGUAGAAUGAUUGUGUGGUGGAGGAUAAACUGAUAAUCAAAAAUAUUUUCAUGAAAAUCCUAAUAUUUUUUCUCUUCUUUUCAGGUUAUGUUUUCUCUUCUUGCCGGACUUGAAUCAACACCAAAGUAUUCCGGAAAAUACUAAAUAUCAUGCAACGACAUCAGUUGUGCAUAAUCUUCUGUUGAGGUGAAAAAGGAAGAUGUUGGAGCUGCUGCGGUGCAGCAACCGGAAGCAGCUGUUAAGGAGAAUGGUGUACAAAAGCAGAAAGGUCAAGAGCAAAAGCCGGAGGCAACAGGAGCAGCAAGUUGAGGAAGGUGGAGAACCCAAUAAGGUGAAGGAAGCUGCUCUGGAGGCAAUUGAAACGCCUUCUAUGCCUGAAAAGCAGGAAGAGAAGAAGCCAGAAUCGACUGUUAUUGGUAACGACAAUUGAGGAGAACCUUUAGCAAUUGGGUAUGCAGCAAACAAUUCUGGACAGGCAGAAUUCUCUGAGCACAAUUUUUGUCAACUACUUCAAGGCGACUCUCUACCAUCGUGUAAGAGGUGUCACCUUUCGACGUGUCCUGGCAGAGCAGGGCUUCGACAUGACAAAGUUGCAGAACAUCUGACGGAAGGAGAAACUCGGUGAUAUUAAAGAUGUCAUUGUGGAGCUGCGGGAACUCAAGGAGGAUGACAAGGAGUUAACGGAUCUCCUUGAUUGUCAUUUUGAUCCGGAGUAGCAGCCAAUUAGAUCAGUGGAAGACAAACAAGAGACGCUUCCAGAGCAGACUAACUUCGAGGAUUUUACCGAGGAAGCAAAAAUCGUCAUUAAAAAGGGCAACAAUCAUCAGGGUGGUCGCAAUUAAUGUGGAACCGCAAUUAAUGUGCCGUGCCGGGUGAUAAACACUGAAAGUAACGCGGAAUGACAAAAAAGAUUUAAUGAGCAAAUAUCUGGAAAGCCAGCCACCUAGAUUAGGAAAACUUACGAGAAAGUAAGGAUGUCUGCCUAGACAGAGUCAGCAGCGUAUACUGCAAAAAAAAACCUUCCAAAAGCCAAGGCUGCUCGAGAACGGCGCCCCCCAGUACCCCCCCCAGUGGAGGAGGAGGACGCAGAAUACGUGGAGUACGCUGAGGAGUGUGGAGCCGUGUGGAUAAAUAAAAAAAAAGUGAAAAAAAA